GCGGGUUAUUUUAGCAGCCAGAACCCCAUGGGGGGGGGUGGCCCCCUCCCCCCUUUAAAUAAACCCCCCCCCCCCCUCCCAGGGUUCCCCCCUCACUUUCUUUGCCAUCAUUAAAAUGGGGCCUAAAAUUCGGUUGCCCCCCCCCGGGAGACCCCCCCCCCCCACAAAUUAUUUUUUUUCUCCCCCCCUUUUAAUCUGGGUAGCUUUUUUAGGUUGGGGGGGCCUCCCCCCCCCCCUUUUUAAAAUUUUUUUUCCCCCCCCCCCCCCCGGGAAACCUCCCCCCCCCUUGGGAAUUUUUUUUCCCCCUCCCCAUUCCCCCUUAAUAAACACAACCCCCCCCCCCGUUUUUCCCCCCCUUUUUUGUGGCCAACUUGUUGGGGUUUUUCCCGGGGGUGCCCCCCCCCCCCUUUUGGGGGGGGGGUUCCCCCCCCGGCGCGGCCCCCUUUGGAUACGGGCCCCCCGUUUUUUUUGGGGGGGCCCCCCCCCCCGGGGGAUGGGGCCUUUGGUUUUUUCCUCCCACCCCGGCCACCCCGAAAAUGUUAGAGGCCUUUGGGGGUUUACACUUUUUCCCCGCAAAAGGCUUCGAUUUGAUUCCCCCCCGAGGGACCCUUCGAUUAAGCUCCGGCUUUGGUCCGCACCCGCGUCCUUCAGGGUGCGGGCGUCCCGCAUUAUGGGCUAAGCGUGCGCAGCGGUCUUUAGUGGUGUAAACCCCCGGGCUAUCGUGGGGUCUCCUUGAAAAUGGGGAUUGAAAAAAGGAUGGGAAUUUCCCGAGGAGCGUGAAUUCGUUGACAUUGGAGGAACUCCGGGAAGCGACCUUUUGGCUGUAACUGACAUGGGCUCGAAAGUGGGGAGCCAACCGGAUUAGAUUCCCUGGUAGUUCGCCGUAAACGAUGAGUGCUAGCGUUAGGGGUUUCCCCCUAGUGCCGAAGUUAACGCGUAAGCACUCCGCCUGGGGAGUACGGUCGCAAGACUGAAACUCAAAGGAAUUGACGGGGGCCCGCACAAGCGGUGGAGCAUGUGGUUUAAUUCGAAUGCAACGCGAAGAACCUUACCUGGCCUUGACAUCCUUGGAACUCCCCGAAGAAUGGGAGGGGCCUGCGGGAA
This 1104-nucleotide ribosomal RNA is filed under the name Bacillus sp. EKS4-11. Its description in RNAcentral is "partial 16S ribosomal RNA". The stretch from base 463 to 1104 matches the Rfam family "Bacterial small subunit ribosomal RNA", at positions 1 to 1026 of the family's 1533-position model. Lineage: Bacteria; Bacillati; Bacillota; Bacilli; Caryophanales; Bacillaceae. The record is from RNAcentral.